AUAAGAGCAGCCAUUAAAAUAUUCUUUCAUUUCUACUACCCAACUCGAUCGUCAUUAUUUUUUCAAAUCUUCUAAAAGGUAGAAGAAUUAUCGAAAAGCAGACGCACUUCGCAACAUGAUCAACGACUGUGAUUACGAGUUUGUUCAUAUUCAAGGUAAUGAAACACUUGUUCGGAGGCACCGAAUAAGACUCAAGUAACUCUUUUUCCCAUUAAAAUAAACUCUCUUCAAAUAUCAACGAUUGAUCUAUAUUGUGAAGAGGUUUUUGUUCAGGAAGAAAUGUUGAAAGGAGGUUUUGCUUGGCAUUACAUACAUCAUUACCAUAAAACGAUGACGUUCCUAAUUUGACAAUUAAUUAAUUUCAGAGGUUUUUCAAAGGUUGUCAAGACUGAAUAAGAGCCGUCAUUAGAAUAUUCUUUCAUUCCCACUACCCAACUCGAUCGUUAUUAUUUUUAUUACAAAUCUUCUAAAAGUUAAAGCUACCUUCACUUCACAUGAUUAAUUGUUGGCAUUAUAGUUGUGCAUUUGGUUGUUGGUGUUUGGAUUCAGUUUGGUGGCUUUUUUAUUUUUAA
Molecule: non-coding RNA, 572 nt
Organism: Camelina sativa (false flax)
Lineage: Eukaryota; Viridiplantae; Streptophyta; Magnoliopsida; Brassicales; Brassicaceae
Source: RefSeq, a predicted model, not a curated record